Erythranthe guttata (spotted monkey flower) is the source of this 283-nucleotide non-coding RNA. Lineage: Eukaryota; Viridiplantae; Streptophyta; Magnoliopsida; Lamiales; Phrymaceae. The record is from RefSeq and is a predicted model, not a curated record.
AGGAACACAAGAUAUGAACUUAUUGACAUAAUUUUUCCGGUGAUUAUUUUAUCAAAGAACCCAAUGUUCAUAUGUACGGGUAUCAAUGUUUUAUUUGCUGGGAACAUCAAGAUUCAAUGAUUCAAGAGCUCAGAUGAAUUCCAUAUUCUAAAUAUAAAGGACAUUUUAGAAGAUACAAGUAUUUGUGGUUGAAGUCAAAGCCAUUGAGGUAAAUUAUUGCUAGCCUAUCUAGUUAUAAUAUUACAAUUAUAUAUUAAUCUCAAAUAGAAUGGGACAAAAUUGU